UAAAACGUAGGAGGCUAGCGUUAUCCGGAUUUAUUGGGCGUAAAGCGUGUGCAGGCGGUUUGGUAAGUUGGAUGUGAAAGCUCCUGGCUUAACUGGGAGAGGUCGUUCAAAACUACCAGACUAGAGAAUGGGAGAGGGAGAUGGAAUUCCGGGUGUAGUGGUGAAAUGCGUAGAUAUCCGGAGGAACACCAGUGGCGAAAGCGGUCUCCUAGACCAUUUCUGACGCUUAAACACGAAAGCUAGGGUAGCAAACGGGAUUAGAGACCCCGGUAGUCCUAGCUGUAAACGAUGUAGACUUGGCGUUGGCGGAGUUAAAUCUGCCAGUGCCGAAGCUAACGCGUGAAGUCUACCGCCUGGGGACUACGACCGCAAGGUUAAAACUUAAAGGAAUUGACGG
This 397-nucleotide ribosomal RNA is filed under the name uncultured bacterium. RNAcentral's name for it is "bacterial SSU rRNA". It matches the Rfam family "Bacterial small subunit ribosomal RNA", at positions 521 to 916 of the family's 1533-position model. The record is from RNAcentral.